ACAAGGGAAAAAAAAGGAAUAUAAGAAAGCAACUGUGAAUCUGAGGCUUCAUUUUGAGUUUUCCCCCAAAACAAAAAGGGGAAAACUAAAAGCCUGAUAGGUUACCUUUUUCUAACAAGGAACAACUGUCUCUACUUCGGGUUGCAUGCUUUCUCAAGUUUGAGUUUAGACAGACCACUCUUUUGUGAAUCUUUGCAUAAAGGGUCAUUGAAUAAUGGUCAGAGGCAUUGUCUUUGAAUGUUUUACAGAUAUGCUGAGGUUUGUACUUAGAACUUCUCAUUUUACAUUCAGCCUUUCAGUGAAAGGCGAACGUGAAGCUGACAUUUUAUAAUGGCAAAACUUAGGGGGCCAGAGCUAUAAGACAUGUUCAGAAGACAGGGAUAUGUGUCUUUUUUUCUCUUGUAUUGCUCAUGGUACCUAGCACAAAGUUGGAGAUGUGAUAGACUCUUUAAUACAGGUAUUCUUAUAUGGUUUACCAUGGCAAAAUCAACUUUCAAUUUUGUUUGGUUUUCAGAGUACUUUUCAUGAUAAAAAGGUUCAUUUGUUUUACUCUCAGAGCAUGCUCUGAGCUGAGAAUUAUAAACUAAAGGAGAAAAUAAUGAUGAGCAAAUAAUUGCCCAGGCUCCUAUGGAGAGUUCUCAGUAGAGCUGGAUUUGGUAACUUGAUGAGUUGUCACUGGCAAAUUUAGCAUUCACAUGUCAGACCUAGAAUAAUGCUAGAUGCUUAUCCCUCUCGUAUGGGAGCAGCCAGGAAGUCAGAAGAGGACCACAGACAGAGCGUUUGUUGGUGACAAGGGCUUUCAUAUCUUCAGAACUUGGCAAUAAGUAUUUUUAAAUAAUGGGAAGAAUGAAUUAUUUGAUUUCUGUGAAUUUAAAUUGCAAAAAUGAAAUAUGUGGGAGAAAACAGGUGCCUCCAUCUUUAACUGGAAUUGACAAAGCAGCAUUCACAAAGUGGCAACAAUUUCCUUUGACAUUUAUGAUUGCCCUAAUGCUGUUAAUCAGUGUGAGAUUAUUAUUUUUCCUUUCACAAAUGGAGAAACUGAGGUUCUGAGGGGUGAAGUGAGCUUACCCCAUUCCACAAAACUUGUAACUGCUGAUUCCCAGUUCUUUGUUCAUUUUAUUAGGCCAUGGAUGUUUCCUUAAAUAUAUUUCUCUGGGAAUAAAAUUCUCUUACAGAUCUUCUAGAAAUGGGGAUCUUGGCUUUCUGAAAUGAAAUUAUGUAUGGGCCAGAAGCCAGGAGAUGGAACGUGUGCUUUCUUACGUGUUUUCCUUCCAGCUUCCUUAGUCACGAUUCUUCAUUAUAACUUUGGUAUCUCUGAUAUUGAGUUAACUUUGACGAUGGUAUGGAUGAUGGUGGAUGGGUGGUACAUACAACUUUGAAGCACAUGAUGACUCUCUGGCCACCUACUUUAUUCUCGUAUUUCCCAAGAGGAGGUAAAUACUUCAUUUUAGAGAAACUGGACUCUAACCUAAAGUGGCCGAGAAGUCUAACCUGCAUUGUAAUCUUCAUCAAAUGAAAACACUUUGUUCUUAAAAGUACACUUGUUCCUUCUUCUUGCCCUUGACAAUUUUCUGUUUGAAGCAGCAAGGAACAGAGGAAAGAUAACAUAGUUUAUUCUAUGGAUUUCUACCAGUUCAAUUUUUAAAGUGUUAGCCUCUUAAAAUAAAUGUUUUCAUAAAAGAUCAUGAAGAAACUCGGAUUUUUGUCACUCCAUCAAUAUGUAGGAGGAGGGUAUGUCUGGGUAAGAGCCAAACAAUUAAGGUGUUACUGACCAGAAGUCUCUUGGUUUGCUGUCAUAAAAUGUCACAACUAUCAGCAACCACAAAAUCUUCAAUAAAUGGCACUGCAGACAGAAAUUUUUCUUAACAGUCUGGGUUUGUGAAUUCUCUUUUUUCCUUUCUGGUUUCCCUCUGUAGAUGUCUCUUUCUUCCUUUGUGCUUGGUCUCUCUGUUUCUCUUACUAACAACACACAUAUUUCUCCAUCUCUGUAUCAUCAUCUUCUAUUAGUUUUUCACAAGUGUAUUUCUGUGACUAAAAGGAUCAACAGAUGCUGACUUCAAUAUUGUGAAGCAUCCAGAAAAAGAACAAUUAAUUUAUAACAAACCUGCUUUGCUCUAACACUGACAGCUUUUGAAAAUGUAUACUGUAUGUGAGAUCCACAUCUCAUUUUGUUUUCAUUUAGAUGGUCAACAGCAUUUAACUCGAAGUUAGGUUUAAAUUCCCCCCAUGAGACUUGUCAGUUUUUGUCAGAAAUAAAACCAAUGAAUAUUUCCAUUUUAAAUAUUUAAAAGACCUUUUAAAUAAUGUGUUGAUAUUUUUGCUUGCAUUUUUGUUAUUAUCUUAACACUCUCUAUUGCUAUCUGCUUCAAUAUAGGAAAAAUGCAGUUACAAAUGUUUCCUGGUUAUAGUUAUUAAGAAUUAUCCCUAAUCUUAGGCUAGAUAUAUACAGAAGAUAAUCGUGUUCUAGAGUGUUCCUGCUGAAUAAAGUUGCCACUUAAUAAGAAACAGAUAUCAUGACUAGGUUGCCCUUGGAACUAACUGUCCAAGCGUGAACAAAUAUAUAUACUACAUCACACAUACACUCACAGUGCACAACACACUUAUACACUUCUCACAUACUCGCCUUUCUUUUACAACUUUCUGGCUCAGCAUGCCCAUGUCAUGAGCUAAUUCUGACCUAACAGAGAGGCUGUGCAGUCUUUCAGCUAGUGGAGGCUGAGAAAAUUGUGCAGCAAUAGGUCCAGUCCCUGGAAGAUGAAGUUAGUUAGCAUUUGGUGCCCAGCCAGCAGCAAUGUGACUUAGGCUUUUCGUCCUAGUAGGUAUGGAGUUCUGCUCUGAGCAACAAUUCAUUUAUUUUGUGCCAAUAUUCUGACUAGCUCAUUCUAGAAUCUUCUAUUUUGGUCAGAAUCUGUCCUAUAUUCUUGGCUGUGGUUCAAUUCUUUCAAUCAAAGAUCUGCCUAAUCCUGUUUUCCCAUAGCUAAUGUUGACAGGGUUCACCACGCCAUCUUCAUCUCCGCCCCCACUUCUCAUCUUCAGCCCAAACCAAUCUUCAUCUCUAUCUUCAUCUUUACUUCCAUCCACACAGCAAUCUUCAACUCCAUCUACCAAUACCAGUCUUAAGCUCCUGUGCCCCACCAUCCUCAGUCAUAGCAGUGCUCGAUGUGAUAACCUAAUCAAAAAUUUCAAACCAAACUGCCCAGCAUUCAUGGUUGUAAAGGACAUGUAGAAUCAGUCAACUGAUAGAUACAAAGUAACACUGAAACUGAUUGAGCAAUAAUCAGAAAGUUGGCGCUGCAAUAGCUUCCUCAGUUGUACCUCUCUGUCCACCGCCCAGCUCUUUCCUGUUGCUUCCAGUUCCUCUCACUUGUACUUCUUUAUUAACUAUUUGUUAACAUAACUUUCUAUGGUUUUCUUUCACCUAAGACCCAAACCUCUUCUCCUGGCUUGCAUUUCCACGACUCCCUGCCCAAGCCUGAGGUUGCACAAGAAACAUAUCUCUAAUUAAUGUCCCCUGUUCCAGGAAUUUGACUCAUUGGGCCUGCAAAAGAUUUUCGUGACAAAUGAAAUAUUUUUCUAAACCAAGGACUUGGGGAUAACUUCAGGGUCAAAGACAUCUUAUCAUAUUUAAGAACAGCCACAGGAUGUCUAGGAGCCAGCAGAGGGGCCAGAUAUGCUGCAGUUUAUGCUGUAAAAGGAAGCCUGCCGCCGUGAGUGGUCCAGUGGGAGCUCUUGCUUUGUGUCCUCAGCCUUUCACCUUUCCAUCUGAUGACUUGCUCUGAAUCUUCACUUCCUGGGCAGAGCUCUGAGUAUAGAUGAGGCAAACUUCACAUGGAAAAGAAGCCAUAUUUUGAAAAAACUACACGGAAUCAAAGAGAACUAACUCAAAGAAGCAAAAUUUUGGAGAUAAAACAAGGUAUCUGAUAGCAGUAGUGAUCUCAGGGUGGAUGACCCCCUACUGUUGCUCCUUCUUUUAAAUAAAACUCUUACUUGCAGGAGACAUACUGAAUGUAUUUGACCUUGGUGGCAGCUGGAAUUCAAAAAUCCUGGGUUGUGUUAGUUGACUAAGACAACAUUGUAGUACUGGUAGAGAAUUCUAAAAUCAGAAGAGCUUCAAUCUCUUCUAAUCUAAUUGACUAUGGAGAUUCAGGCAAGUUAUUCUGCCUCUGAGCCAGAUUUAAUUUCCUUAUCUAUAAUGUAAGGAGAAAAUCAAUAACUUUAAUAUUCUCUGAUUCAAAAUGUAAGCAAACAGAGGAAGGUGAUUGGCAACUUAGUUAAUUGGCAGGGUUAUUGGUAAAGAGUGAACACUGGGCAUUAUCCUUAAAGGUUAUGACAUUUGGAUAACCAUCUUGCAUCUUGGUCCAGUAGGCCAGCUACAGUAAUUGCUGUGGGUUAUGCUGAGUCUAGGACUGGAUUCCAAUUAAGCUGUGAUUUUUCACCAGUGCUAACUGUGGAAGGGCAGAUCCAUACAGAGCAUUCCUCAGCUAGGUAGUUUGAAUUAUUCCUAGACAGAUGCCUCCCAUUGAAGAGCACCUGGCAUUUUUACUAAGAGGAGAUCUAGCCAUUCUAGCAACUCUGAUUCACUCUCCUUUUGUUCAUCAUCUAUAUUUCUCCAUGGCUAUCCUUCCAAAGAGAAGCUAUUGCUAUAGUACACCUAACCAGAACAACUUUACCUCAAGGACACAGCUUUAUUAUCUGCUGAGGACCCUGAUCUAAUACUGUCAGGGUAGAGCCUGGUGUUCUGGGGAAAAUUUCAGGUUAUUAAAGCCAGUCCUAAUGGUUGGCUUAGAUAUGGCCUCUGUCUUGAUUUCCCUGCAUAGAACUUCUAUCUUUUAUUAAUUUGGUGCCAGUUGUAUAUUUUAAAGGGAGAGCUGUGGGUCUUGAUUUAAACCUGUAUAUACAUACAAGUACCUUGUUUUGUUAAACUACAUUGUCUUGCUCUUGUCAGUUUUAUCCUUAGAGGUCUGGACGUGCCCCAUCUCUGUACUUGAUUCUGCUGAGAAUACAGAGGUUGACAGUACCAUCAUGGCACACUACUCUGUGUGCACUGACCUAGGGCCUGGCACGCCUCAUAUAGAUACCUCCUAUCCCCUUUGUGCCUGCAUUUGUCUCAACCACAGGCCACAGUAGCUAACAUUCUCAGCUUUUGACCCACUAAUUUUUGGCUUUUGCCCAUCCCCAUUGACUCCCAUGUAGACCCUAUGUUCACCAGAAGGAUCCUCAUGUCUGCAGACUACAUUAAGAGGGAGGAUAUGCCUCUGUGAAUCCAACUGAUAGGUAUCUCCUGUGUGCCAGGGAAUGGCAGGGCCAUGGCUCUCUCAAAGCCAUGCUCAUAAAAAGCCUCCUCUGCAUCGACUUCCAGUCCCAUUUGAUUCUCAAGCAAGGAGUUCCAUCCGAGAAGGAAGCUGUCACCUGUCACUCUUUUAUGAAUUCUUAAGGACAGUGGAAGAGUUGAAAGGUUGGCAAUCACAAUGACAAUAGGCUAUUACAAGCAGGUGAAGAGCCUUCUUCUUUUGCUCCUUACCCCCAACUGCUGUUCAAAUAAUCAAAAAAGGGUCCUCAUUGAAACUGAUUUAAUUCUCAAGAGGAAUGAAAGACAUUUAAAGGGCAAGCCAACUUCAUAAAUGACAUUAAAAGGUUUUAAAAUAGUGUUUUGCUUCUAAAGGGUGUUUGUAAAUGUCAGAGGUAACAUAUUGAUUACAGUCCUGGCAGUUCUUGCUCAGGGCUUCUUAGCUGUCUUUGGCUUAACUCAUGCUGUUGACUUAUGCUCAUGGUAUGAAAUAUCUCAGCCAUCUUACUUUGUUUGCUUAAACUUUUCCAACCUACCAGACUUUAUCCACAUGUGAAUAAAAGGUACCAUCAAAUUAGUGGUGUUUAUAAUUUUUGUGCUUUUUAAUGUCUCGUGAAUUAUAUAAAGUUACGAAAAUGGCUAUAGGAAUUGGCCUACAAACUCUUGAGAUGUCCUAUAAGUUCCUACAAGAUAUUGAAAGUUGGUUGCUUUGAGGAUAUAAUUCUGAAUGUUGAAGCAAAUUAAAAAGCCAACUUGGAAGGGGAUACAUAAUCCUCUUUAAGUCAAGAUGAGGGGUAUAACCUCCCCCAUAUAUUCUGGGCCCAGUCGUCUGUGUUGAAAAGAACUCUGAUAGUUUAUUUGCUGAUACUAUUAAUGGGAGCCAAAAACAUUGUGGAGAAAGGUGAUAUUGUCAUCGUGAAUCUCUCUGAACUCCUGUUCCCAAUUUGUAGCCAGUAAGAGAGCAUGAUUGCUCUGACUACAGGAUUAUACUAAGUCUCUAAGGAAAUGAGAAUAGUGCACAUGUGUACUCUGAUUUAUAGUUUGCAAAGGCCAUUCAAUAAUUGGUAAAGCCGAAACCAAUGAAUUUCCUUCUGAUUUUCAGCACCAUUCAGAAUCUGGACAUAUAAUAUGUUUAUGGCAUUUAACCUAGUCAGACAGUAGAUAUUGCUCUAAGUCAUGGCCUACACCUGUGAGCCUACUUAUAUCAGCAUUUGCCAAAUGUACUUGUAGCUGUGGUACUGACCUCAGAGAACUUAGCCAAAGAGCAAAGACUGCCUAAUUCAAGAAGUACUGGCUGUACAGGAAGCAUAAUGCCAGCAUCUGUUUCUGGUGAGGCCUCAGGAAGCUUUUACUUAUGGUGGAAGGUGAAGGAGGAACAGGUGUCUCACAGGGCAAGAGGAGCAAGAGGGAGCAGAGAAGAUGUUCCAGGAUUACUUCAUGCUGUCCAGGUCCUAGACAUGGAAUCGUUUGCUUCUUCAAAAGUCUGGAUCCCUUUAAGAUACGAAAUGUAUUUAGAAACCAAAGUAUGGAUGCUAGGUGUGCUCAUGGCCAUUGGAGUGUGUUUCUAGACCCAGGAAUAAGCAAACAAUGGCCUGUAAACUAUAUCCUGUCUGUGGCCUGUUUUUGUACAUCCUAAGAACUAAAAAUUAUUUUAAAAAUUGUAAAUGGGAAAAAGUCAACAACAACAAACAAAUCAACAAAUAACCCCACAAAUAAACAGUUUCUUAAAGACCAGAAUGACCAAGAAAUCUAUGAAACAGAGACCGUAUACUGCCCAGAAAGCCUAAAGUAUUUACUGUGUAUCCCUUUAUAGAAAAACUUUAUCAAUCUUGGUUCUAUUUUUAGUAUACAGAGCUAGGAAAAAUUAUUUCAUAAAUAAUACUGAGUUUAUAAAGAACU
RNAcentral lists this long non-coding RNA (7186 nucleotides) under Homo sapiens (human). Its description in RNAcentral is "HSALNT0311150". Lineage: Eukaryota; Metazoa; Chordata; Mammalia; Primates; Hominidae. The record is from RNAcentral.